AGAGCAACUGAUGAUUGCUUGUUAUUGUCGUGUAUUCCAUUUGAAAAUGUUGUAUUAUACAAGACAAUAACAAGCAAUCAUCAGUUGCUCUGCAAUAAAAAUCAAAGUAUCAACAUCAACCUGUCAUUUCCUUUUCCUAGAGACCAGUAAAUAAUUACCAAGCAUGAUGCCGAUCAGUGUCAUGAUAACAUACCACACCUAAAGAAAGGCAUCCUCCUCUUGAAGACAGAACGACAUAAAAGAUAAGUUCUCUUCGUUAAGUAUCAGAUCCGAGGAUCACAUUAUAUUUACGCUUUACAAUACCACCGCGCAGGUCCCUUGACCAUGCAUUGCCAUGCUAAGUAGCAGAAAGUAGUAGCAUGUGAGAUAAUAAGUCUGGGAAGAGAUAAAAUGACAGAACAAAAAGGAACGACUCCCAAAGAUUGAUAAUGCAAGCAGAAAGGAUUUCUUGCCGCUUCCCCUUCCCGGCAAUAAGACAAAAGGAUAAUUUCAAACAAUAGGAAAAGAGCUCAACACCCAAGGCUUUUCAUUAUUCUAUCAAGCCUGUCAAUAACAACUGCUGGAGAAGCAUACGAUCCACCAAGAUUGAUGGCAUGAUACUCCAAUCCUUUCCACUGGGCAAUCAAUCGAAAAUGUGGGCGCCUAAACUGGCUGCUAAUGAUCUCUAAAAUUACUGUUUUUGGUGUUGCAGAAAUUAUAUGAGUGAGACCGGCACCAUGAGCACCAAUAAUAACUGAAGCCUCUUGAACGGCUCGUAUUUGCUCCUUCAUAGACAUGUGUGCAAAAAAUCCAUUGACAAGAUUCACGUUGCAUCUCGCAUGAUUAGAUGCCCAACUCUGUAAUGAAUCGAACACUUCUCCUUCAUUGCUCAGUCUUGAUUCAACUUUACCAUGAUGACGUGGAUGGGCUAAAUAAUCUUCACGUCUGACAAAGAGGACAUUAUGACCUGAAACAGGCUUUUCACUACCAUGUCUAUUGACAGAGAAGCCAGAAGCUGCUCUAAUCAUUUCUCCCACCUCAGAUAAUCGGGCUGUUUUUCGGUCAUUAGGGUUUUGCCAAAGAUCAUGCGCUGAUGCUCCUUCACAAUCUAUAUCUUCGCUUAGUCCCUUAAAGAGUGCAGUUUCAUAUCCCAGAGGAGAUAGAACAACAUGACGAAAACAAACUGGACCAGUAAAGUUUUUAGCAUAUCUGACACUUGAAAAAAGUGCUCUCCAUGUUUCAUCCAAAGGUGCUCUGCAGUGGCCAUCUACAAAAAUCACAUGAGGUCGAUAAGGCAAUUCAGUGACUCUAGAAGACACAUAUGCACUGUACCAGCCGUGUGAAAAAGAUUAGCAUAUUCAAAUCGUAUAACCAGAAGUGUUGGCUCCUCAAUCCACUGAUCGCACUCAAAUUCCUCAUUAUCCACGGCACGAAUUGAACCAAUCAAUCCACGCAUGGUAUUCCUAGUAAUCUCGCCCCCCGGGACACUAGUAUCCAAGAAAUCUCCUACAAGGUUUUUACCGUUCCUUCCAACCCCUAGAACCUCAAAGGCACCGUUUUGGAACUCAGGCAACUCCUCUUCCUCCGUUCUCCGCAUGACCUCCUCUAUUGCCUCCCCUCCUUUGGACAUAUGUAUCCUUUCAGGCACCAUCCGCACAUUUCUUCCCUCGCAUAUGGAGCUCCGAAGCGUCUCGCUGAAGAAACAACGGAAACACCCUCCACCGGGAUUCGCGGGGAGGAUGUCAAUGCGGCGGUUGAAGCCGUUGCCAAAGUAGGCCUCGCAGGAGCGGAAUGAGACUUUACGAUUCCGAGUCCAGGGAAGAUAAGACGGUAGUAUCGGCCACGGUUUAAGGUAAUGAUUAUUGUUAAAAUUACUAUUAUUUUUAUUUUGGAGGUGGUUGUCCGUCAGUGUAGGGCGGUUUUCCGUGAGGAAAUGAUGCCGGCUAUCCAACAAGGAGGGGAGGUUGUUGUUAAGAGAAGGCCGAUGGUGGUCGGAGUGGUUUUGGUGGUGGUAGGGUAAGGAGAAGUAGACAGAGAGAGAGAGACAAUUGAGAGCGAAGAGGGAGAGAACGAUCUUGAAGAGCUUGGAGUGAGUUCUGUCCAUCGUUUUUUUUUUUUAACUCUCUAAGACCAGG
Molecule: unclassified non-coding RNA, 2114 nt
Filed under: Hevea brasiliensis (rubber tree)
Lineage: Eukaryota; Viridiplantae; Streptophyta; Magnoliopsida; Malpighiales; Euphorbiaceae
Source: RNAcentral